UUGAAAAUAAAAGCGCAGAUUCUUCUUUCAGUUUCAAUUUGGAUUUAGCCAGAGACCUCCGUGGAGCGGCGGGGUUAUCUGGAGUUAGGAUGCCUCUCCCUCGCCGUCAGAAGACACCCAAGAGCACGAAGCCUCGUUUUCAUAGGAGGGCCUCAUCCCUAGCUCUACAGAGGGGCUUCCCCAAAGCACCUGAGGACAAAGAAUCUCUACUCCCUUGAGGAAAGUUUUCAUUGAAAAGGUGGGAAAACGUCUCUCUUCCUCUGACUAAACUGACAGACCCUGGUAACUAGCAUUCUACUCUCUGUUUCUAAGAGUUCAACUAUUUCACAACCCACAUGCAAGAUGCACCACUGAGCAAAUUUUAUUGUGAGUUCUCUGUGCCACGAACUCCUACAAUCUGUCAUCUGAGAAAGUCCCAGAAUACUGAGACAGAAGCCAGGCUCUGCCCUGUAAGCCAGGUGAAACCAUCACUGCAAGAGACUAUAUUUAGGCCCACAGUGUGUCAGAAGGAUGACAUGUUCUAUACAACCUUUUCACCCUGUCUGCUUCUAUAUAUACAAGCGCCUCUGUAUAUGAAUUCCUGGAGGUUCUGUGACUUUUUAAUAUUCCCCAGAGCUACCUUUGAAAACUGUGAGGUCACUUGGAUAGAAGCAGGAUUCAAAUGCAGAGUGUGAACACUCAAGAAGAGAUGCAGACUACAGCAGUUGCUAGCAUCUUUGAGCAUUAACUAUUCUCACUCAGAAUAUGGAGUAUUUAGAUAUCAGCUCCUGGAGGAGCCAGGAGGUUUUAGCAACAGAGUUGCCAGUUUACAUUUUAAUAACCAUGGGACAAGUCACUCUCUUCUUCCUGCAGUCUAUAACUCUGACUGCUCAGUGGACUUCCUGGGAACAAAUACAGCUGGAGGAGAUCAAACCCCAGUGUUGCUGGUAUGCGGGGCACAAGCUGCCCAGUGCCACUCUUUCUCUGAGGAGCCAAUGAGGUGUUGGUGGUGUUGAGCUCUGAACUAGAGGUCAGGAUAUUUUGGUUGCUAAUUCUAGCUCUGCCACUUCCCUGCCAGGUGACUUCGUUGUAUCAGGUGACUGUAUGAGGCCUGCUGCUUCCCUGUGAACAGAAUAAGGGCUGUCCUUGGCGUUACUCUCAGCUCCGGAGUUCUAGAAGACUGAAUUAGCUUUGUCAUCCCAAAUUCUGGAAAUAAGCAGUGAAUGUUUAGAUGAUUAUAUACUUGGGAACUUUGUGUAGAGGUCCCAGACAUUUGGUAUUGGGUGGCAAAAUCUCAGAGCUGUGAAGUUUCACUCAAGUGCAAAGUCCCCAGAACUACUCACUUGUACAAUUUCUCUAAUGUGAAAUUCUUUGACAGAUAAUUUUAUCAUGUUGGAGGACAAUGACUUUUAUUAAACAAGUACUCUUUGAAAUCUA
Marmota flaviventris (yellow-bellied marmot) is the source of this 1416-nucleotide long non-coding RNA. RefSeq lists it as uncharacterized. The record is from RefSeq and is a predicted model, not a curated record. NCBI's taxonomy places the organism in Eukaryota, Metazoa, Chordata, Mammalia, Rodentia, Sciuridae.